Molecule: unclassified non-coding RNA, 23 nt
Filed under: Mus musculus (house mouse)
Lineage: Eukaryota; Metazoa; Chordata; Mammalia; Rodentia; Muridae
Description: oocyte_clustered_small_RNA13391
Source: RNAcentral
UGUUCGGCUCUUGGGUCCCGGUC